Long non-coding RNA from Miniopterus natalensis, 204 nucleotides. RefSeq lists it as uncharacterized. The record is from RefSeq and is a predicted model, not a curated record. Lineage: Eukaryota; Metazoa; Chordata; Mammalia; Chiroptera; Miniopteridae.
UCCAAAAGAGGCUUCUCAAAAGGAAACCAGCAUUUUGUCAUGACCGGAAGAUCUACAUACGCUGAGACGCACCACUCCCACCAGGUUCAGGACUUCACUCUAUCCAGACAGAAUAUCAGCGUUCUUCUUGAGAAAGGAUGUUGCCUUAGAAAUGCUUGAAGGUGUUUCUGUAUAAAGACAAGAGACGAAUCUAAUUGAUCUCAA